UCGGGAAUUUUGUGCAAUGGGCGAAAGCCUGACACAGCAACGCCGCGUGAAGGAUGAAGUCCCUCGGGAUGUAAACUUCGUAAGAAUAGGAAGAAUAAAUGACGGUACUAUUUGUAAGGUCCGGCUAACUACGUGCCAGCAGCCGCGGUAAUACGUAGGGACCAAGCGUUGUUCGGAUUUACUGGGCGUAAAGGGUGCGUAGGCGGCAUAUCAAGUCACUUGUGAAAUCUCCGGGCUUAACUCGGAACUGCCAAGUGAUACUGAUGUGCUAGAGUGCAGAAAGGGCAACUGGAAUUCUUGGUGUAGCGGUGAAAUGCGUAGAUAUCAAGAGGAACACCUGAGGCGAAGGCGAGUUGCUAGGCUGACACUGACGCUGAGGUACGAAAGCUGGGGGAGCGAACGGGAUUAGAUACCCCCGUAGUCCCUGAGCGGGCUGGCAAGGCGCAU
This 447-nucleotide ribosomal RNA is filed under the name uncultured bacterium. RNAcentral's name for it is "bacterial SSU rRNA". It matches the Rfam family "Bacterial small subunit ribosomal RNA", at positions 355 to 825 of the family's 1533-position model. The record is from RNAcentral.